Molecule: ribosomal RNA, 428 nt
Filed under: uncultured bacterium
Lineage: Bacteria
Description: bacterial SSU rRNA
Rfam family: Bacterial small subunit ribosomal RNA
Source: RNAcentral
UACGGAAGGCAGCAGUGGGGAAUAUUGCACAAUGGGCGCAAGCCUGAUGCAGCCAUGCCGCGUGUAUGAAGAAGGCCUUCGGGUUGUAAAGUACUUUCAGUCGUGAGGAAGGUGUUAAGGUUAAUAACCUUAGCAAUUGACGUUAGCGACAGAAGAAGCACCGGCUAACUCCGUGCCAGCAGCCGCGGUAAUACGGAGGGUGCGAGCGUUAAUCGGAAUUACUGGGCGUAAAGGGCACGCAGGCGGUUAAUUAAGUUGGAUGUGAAAUCCCCGGGCUUAACCUGGGAAUGGCAUUCAAGACUGGUUAGCUAGAGUCUUGUAGGAGGGGGUAGAAUUCCAUGUGUAGCGGUGAAAUGCGUAGAGAUGGUGGAGGAAGUACCGGUGGCGAAGGCCGGCCCCUGGACAAAGACUGACGCUCAUGUGCGAAA